Molecule: long non-coding RNA, 1236 nt
Filed under: Chrysolophus pictus (golden pheasant)
Lineage: Eukaryota; Metazoa; Chordata; Aves; Galliformes; Phasianidae
Description: lncRNA (ENSCPIG00010010884.1)
Source: RNAcentral
GGGAGAUUUUUAUUUAUUUAUUUAUGUAUUUUUGAGCAAUUGCAGUGUUUGUCCCAUCCAGCUUCAGCCCAGCCCCAGGCAGGGGAUGGGACCACCUGCAUAGGCAGCUCUGUCAGCUGCUGGGAAAAGAGGAGUGCUCUCUGUGGAGAUUAGGUUGUGACGUUCUGUAAAUAAGCUUUUGUUCUUCUCAGCUCUUGAUGAGAAAGAAGAUAUACAGUAUAAGUAUAGCAUCUCUGUGAUAAGGGCUAAUACUUCCAAGUUAAAGAAAAUAACAAAAUAGAAAUGUUAAAGCUACGUGAGAGGAAACAUUAAGCUCAGUACCUUAGCUAUAGAGACAGAGGUAUGCAAGAAGGACGGAAAAAAGCAUCAAGUCUGUAGCAAACGUUCCUCAGUCCUUCUGUCCGAGCUGUGUGGCCGCAGCGGGUCUGCGGGGUGCGCGCUGCUGUGCUGUGCUGUGCUGAGCGUGAAACAGAGACACGGAGCGGCGGCUGAGGGAAGGACGCAGAGCUGAGAGCUGGGAAGGCCCGAAGUUCAGCACGAGGGCCGCUCCCGCUCCGCCGCGGUGUCCUGCAGCGCUCCGUGCGGGGAGCAGCGCUUCGUGCUCCGCUCUGCGCUCACCGCGUGCAGCACGGCUGCUGCCAGCCCUGCGCUGCCGCACCGCACGGCGGUGUGUUGUGUGGGUCGGGGAGCUGCAGCGUGGAGAGGUGGAUGGGAAUUGGAAGGACGCAUUGUUAAAGACGAAAAAUCUGAAACGUGGCAAACACUGCACUUGCAAAACUCUGAAUGUAAUAGGUGGAAAUGAGCGAUGAAUUUGGAUGCCGGCUCGGAAGGAAAAGCACCCCGUUCUGCUUAUCUUUCCCCAAGGAUUCAGUCGGUUUUAACUUGCGGACAGGUGCAUACAAAGCUCUAAAUGAUUGCUCGUGGGACCACGUGAGGUUCAGCGCUGUGUGCACAGGGAGCUGCAGCUCCGCCGUGCGGGCAGGGGAGGAACAUUGGAGCUCUGAGUGUGGGGCUGCAGGGCUGCCGGGCAGGGAGAGAACUGCGUGUGGCUCCUGGGGUUCUGCAGCCGUUACUGCGAUGCUGGACGUGACUGUGCAGGGAUGGCGUUGGGCCUAUCUGGAAAGCCGCUGUUCUGCUGCUUUAUCAGAGGUAUUUCGUGUGGGGCCUAGAGGCGCGAACCGCUGGCUCUCAUCAACCUCAAGAAGAAGAACGAGGAGACGGGGGAGGAGGAGCUGA